ACGUGGAAAAAGUCAAGGUGUCUGAAUUCCUUCCGAAUGCACUGUACACACAGGCCUGAUUUGAAGGUAAACCAGCACUGACUCCACUCUAUGGAAAGGGGAGACUCUUACGAACAAGGUGAUGUUCUCCGUUUUGUCACAGGUCUCAGCUGAAGGUAACCCAUACAAACUAAUUGAAGUAUGAAGGUAGUUUUCUUCUAACAAAAAUAAGGGGUUACAUUUAAAUAUAUAGUUUAAAAAGUCAGCUUUCUUGUAUCUCCUAGAUAUCGGAGAGACCAGUGCUUAAUUUGUAAAUCGGGAGGUGCCGGAACAAUAAAAAGUGAGCUCGAGAGUCAGGUGACCUGGGGAGUUCUAAGGUACCGGAACGAAUGAAAAAAAUGUAUUACCUUCAUAAUAAAUCUUUGCAUGCGUAUCAUCACAUUUGCGUAGUGGCAUAGAGCAGUAGAAUUAAGGCACUUAUAGAAGUUGCACACAUGGAGAACAUUUUUAGUAGCCUGGGGUCCGGGAAAAUGUUAGUCUUUUAUAAAUGAAUUUCAGCAAUUUUAUGUCAUUUUACCUGACUGGAGACCUUGCCAGAAUCUUUUUUAGUACCGCAAAAAUGAUCGAAAUGACAGGCUACUUUGACACUGACAAACUCAAAAAUCUGAGAUCCAUUAAAAACGACCUUGUCUUGAAUCCAUCAAUAGUCUAGGCCUAGUUGUGUGAAGACACAUAUUGUAGGCUACAAUAUGCGGGGCAAAUUAUAGUCCUAAAAAUGCUUCCAGUUUGACUGACUCACUCAGCUAACUGGCUGGUGAUGGCCGAUGCUCGUGCCAAAAGCCUCUCCCUCCCUCUCGCUCUCUCUUUUGUAAAAAUAAUACUUCGAAGUUGAUCAAAUAUUUUGGUAGCCUACAGCAGUCUUCUCUUUUCAGCAGGAGUCAUUUUCCUUACAACCUGUGUUUUCGCUUGAUUGAACUUGAAAUAUUCAAAUAUUGUGAAAGGCCUUUUUUUUCUGCAUGGUGUUUUUUCACUGACAGAUUUGCCACUCGUUCCCGGAUGUAGACUAUUCCUUGUUUAUUAGGUUACAAUCCACAGCUACUGAUCCUCUGUCACUAAAUUAUAAAUUAUUGUUAUGGUGUAGUGGGCUAUUCUGAACGAUUUAAUCAAUUUCUGAACAGACAGCAGUAAUAAUAUAACUUUGGCAAAUGUAUUUAAAUGUAUCAAAGGGUGCUGCAGUUCAUUCAGAAUCCUUCGCAUGGCUAUGAUUCUAUGAGAAAAUAAAUGAGAGAUGUGAGUUGCAGGCUCAUGUCUAUCAGAGUAGAGAGAGGGAGAGAGGUCAUAGAAAGUGAAACUCAUUCUAGUUAUGUGAGACAUACUGGUCGCUUCUCACACAGCCAAGGCCACGCGUUGGUCUCAAACAUUGCUU
This is a long non-coding RNA of Oncorhynchus tshawytscha (Chinook salmon), 1405 nucleotides long. The record is from Ensembl. NCBI's taxonomy places the organism in Eukaryota, Metazoa, Chordata, Actinopteri, Salmoniformes, Salmonidae.